Molecule: small nucleolar RNA, 180 nt
Organism: Polyodon spathula (Mississippi paddlefish)
Lineage: Eukaryota; Metazoa; Chordata; Actinopteri; Acipenseriformes; Polyodontidae
Product: small nucleolar RNA SNORA23
Exons: 1
Source: RefSeq, a predicted model, not a curated record
GGCUGUCUGUCUGCUUGGUGAUGGUCCAUGUGUAGCGUUGCUGUUUGUUUGUGUCUUGCAAUUGGACAGCAGCACUCACACAAUGCCAGCAGCCAAACAGAAACCUGAGAUCAUAGUACUGGUCUGGUGAAGUCUUUGUGACAAUCUACCACUGGUCAGCCUCCAAACUCUCAAACAGUA